UCCCUGGAAAGUCCUUUCAGAGCUGCUCUUCUAAGAGACGGUUUGGAUUGAAGUUUAGGAUCCAAUUUGGUACUGAGAAGAGGCUUAUGCUAGGGAUUAAGGAUGAGGGUAGCUGCUCAGUGGGAGCUGCCACCCCUCCCAGAGAUCUGCUUCUACCUGGACAUUUUGACUUAGUCUGAAUCUAACUUCAGAGAUUUUAAUUGUGGUCACAAAUCAGGCAUGAAGAUGUUCUUAUGCUGAACCCCUUGGUAACAAGGGAAGCUGUAGCUGUCCUCUGGAGUGACUGGAGAAGGAAGAAGGCCUCCGGACUGGAGGGGUGCAGGGAGUGUUUUCAGUCUUGCUGCAAUGAUUGUGUUCCCAACUGUUCCUGCCGAUACAGAGAGUGUGAACAAAUUGCACUCAUAGGAGAAAAUCAAGCCCAGAGCACUUGUGUGUGCGUAACACUUCUUUAAUAGAAAAGCCUGAGAACUGUUUUCUUUUGAAUAUGUUCUGGGUAAGUUUAAUGUGGUCCUUUGUAAAGAAAACAAAAGUCUGGAAACCCAAAUCUCCAGGAGACUCUGCUCUAUUAGAUAAUUUGAAAAUCUUUAAUGAUCACACACAUAGAUCUGAGGGAUCUCAGGCACGCAGCUGUAGUUUCAGAGUUCUGGCUGUAUUUGCCAUCUGUCUGUAAGCAAGCAGAUCUUGGCUGGGUGUUCUGCUUCAUAUAGCUGAGUGUUAUUCGUUUUGCUCCUUGUUGCCUCCAGUCUGGGCUUUUCAAGAAGAUUAAUGGAACCUGAGAGAAAUAACCCAUUGCCCUUCUUAAGAAAGUGGUAUAACAUCAUGCUAGUUAUUAACUCAGAUCUAAUUGGUGUCUUAGUGUUUGCAGUUUUUUAAAUGGGUUGGAACUCCCAUUCAGCCUAAAAAUGGAGAAGUACUAUUCUGUUCAGUAGCAUCAGAAUUUCUUGCCUGUUAUAACCCUAAAACUAUGAAAACUGGUGAGAAGGCAGAAUAAAAAACUGUAUUGAUAUUCUGCUAGCUAGUAUGAUGCUCCUAGAAUCACAUCAAACUGUCAGAAAAAUAAGUGGCUAAUCACUGAGAAUCUCUCCUCCGUUCUCCUAUUUGCCAGUGGGCUAAAGGAAUGUAUGUUGUUUUGGGUAAUGGAAGAAGCUUUUGGUUUUCAUUACAGCCUGUAAACAUCUUGGGCUGAAAGCCUCAGGAGUGGUAUCAUGUCGUACCACAUGUUAUGUACGCUGCCCAGCAAGUUUUGAAACAGAUUUUUAUGAUGAUUGUGUUUACAGUAUUCAAUGAAAACAGGGAUGACUGGGCAAUGGGAUGCCAACCACUCCCUGCUCCUAAGCUGAAGAGCGUGGAUGGGGGUUGGUGUUGAGAUGUUUUAUUAAAGCACUGUGCUUAGCUUAAUUACCAUAACAUCAGUGGAAAGGUAGAAUAUUUCAAAAAUCUUGUUGACAUCAGUAGGUUUUAGUCAGGUCCUAGAUAUUAGUAUGGAACUAAUAACUACUAAGAAGGGCUAAUGCUGAUGAACUGCUGGCUGAAAAAUAAGGUAAUCAUUAAGGUAUACAAUUGUGUUUGAUUUUGCAGAUUUCAGGUCAAUUCCAUAGAGGAAAUAGGUGUAUGGGAGGCAACCUUGGGAGUGCAUGUGACUUAAAACUUCUGAAGGAAGGUGCUAGCAUGUGUUACACUAAAUUCUCAGUGAUGCAAGCCUGUAUGUGAGCAGUGGGGACAAUCGGUGGAUUUGAUUCCAAAUUGCACAUUUACUCUGAACAAAUGCUGAAAUGGAUGCAGUGUUUGGUUCUCCCAAAUGCAGACUAUGGUGCAUAGACCAAAGCUUGUUGGUGGAUGUAUUGGGCUUUACAUUCUGGAGACCAGACUAUAGCUGAUAAUACCUCUCUGGUUUUACUGGCCAAAGUGCAUCAAAUGUCUUUUUUAUUAGUUCAUUGUGCUGAACAACGUCUCCCAGCUAACUGGAAACAUCUAUUAAUCAAACCAACUCCUUUCCCUGUGGGUUUUCAAAUUCCAUUGCAGUAAUUCCUGAAAGCCAUAAUUGCUGGGGAUUCAUUGUGCAGACCCACAAGGUGUCUUCCCUGUGUAAGGAACCUACACAACCAACACUCAGGUUGGUUUAUGCCAACAGUGAGUGAAUCCAUGGCAGAGCCCUGCCUGUGGUGUUGCUUUCUGUACCAGCCUUUGCACUGCUGGGGACAUGUUAUGCUUGGGGGUCCCUUUCUGUCAACCAGGGGAGAACUCUUCUGUCAUUUGGACAGAAGUUAAGAAACAGAGGAUGAUUGGUACUUAAGUGAUUCUUCCCCUUUCCAUCCUGCCCAUAUUUGUGGUUGAUUUUAGCAUGUUUAAAAUCAAUGCUUGGGCGCUAAAUGAACCUCCAGCACUUACAGCUAUGCAGGCUUUUAUGGGUUUAAAGAGCUUUCAGGAUUGCAUUAUCAGCUUUCUGUAUGAGUAGUCAGAGGGUUCAAACUCAAGUGUGGUGACUGUCCACAGGUCAGUGUGAAAUGAAGACAGAUGUGGUCAUAGUCCUUGCCUCAAGGUAUUCAUACUCUGAAACCAGUAAAGGAUCAGGGUUGUGGAACUUGUAUGAACCUAACACAGUGAGUCAGCAGCCUGGUUAGACUUAGACCUUGUAUUUUCUGCCUCUUGGCUCCACUAUCUUCACACCUGCCUAUGCUGUUCUCCUGUCUCUAAAAUCAGCAGAACUAAUCUUUUAAACUGCCUUUUUAAAGUACUAAGACUACCCCUUUUUCUUACACUUCAGUAGUGAGUAUUGACCAGGUUGUGAGUAGUGCUCAUCCGCUGUGCUUCUCUAUGAUUUUCAAUGUCUGUCCUUAGGACUCAGUUACCAGCUCCGUCUCCAUCCUUGAAUAAAGCCAUUGGCAAUGGCUA
Anas platyrhynchos (mallard) is the source of this 2892-nucleotide non-coding RNA. NCBI's taxonomy places the organism in Eukaryota, Metazoa, Chordata, Aves, Anseriformes, Anatidae. The record is from RefSeq and is a predicted model, not a curated record.